This 495-nucleotide ribosomal RNA is filed under the name uncultured bacterium. RNAcentral's name for it is "partial 16S ribosomal RNA". It matches the Rfam family "Bacterial small subunit ribosomal RNA", at positions 28 to 507 of the family's 1533-position model. The record is from RNAcentral.
GACGAACGCUGGCGGCGUGCCUAAUACAUGCAAGUAGAACGCUGAAGGAGGAGCUUGCUCUUCUGGAUGAGUUGCGAACGGGUGAGUAACGCGUAGGUAACCUGCCUGGUAGCGGGGGAUAACUAUUGGAAACGAUAGCUAAUACCGCAUAACAGUAGAUGUUGCAUGACAUUUACUUAAAAGGUGCAAUUGCAUCACUACCAGAUGGACCUGCGUUGUAUUAGCUAGUUGGUGGGGUAACGGCUCACCAAGGCGACGGUACAUAGCCGACCUGAGAGGGUGAUCGGCCACACUGGGACUGAGACACGGCCCAGACUCCUACGGGAGGCAGCAGUAGGGAAUCUUCGGCAAUGGACGGAAGUCUGACCGAGCAACGCCGCGUGAGUGAAGAAGGUUUUCGGAUCGUAAAGCUCUGUUGUAAGAGAAGAACGAGUGUGAGAGUGGAAAGUUCACACUGUGACGGUAUCUUACCAGAAAGGGACGGCUAACUACGUG